RNAcentral lists this ribosomal RNA (497 nucleotides) under uncultured bacterium. RNAcentral's name for it is "partial 16S ribosomal RNA". It matches the Rfam family "Bacterial small subunit ribosomal RNA", at positions 28 to 507 of the family's 1533-position model. The record is from RNAcentral.
GAUGAACGCUGGCGGCGUGCCUAAUACAUGCAAGUCGAGCGAACGGACGAGAAGCUUGCUUCUCUGAUGUUAGCGGCGGACGGGUGAGUAACACGUGGAUAACCUACCUAUAAGACUGGGAUAACUUCGGGAAACCGGAGCUAAUACCGGAUAAUAUUUUGAACCGCAUGGUUCAAAAGUGAAAGACGGUCUUGCUGUCACUUAUAGAUGGAUCCGCGCUGCAUUAGCUAGUUGGUAAGGUAACGGCUUACCAAGGCAACGAUGCAUAGCCGACCUGAGAGGGGGAGGGCCCACAAGGGAGCGGAAACGGGGACAGGACGCAUGCGGGAGGCACCAGAAGGGGAGCGGCCGAAAGGGGGAAAAGCAUGGCGGAACGGGGCCGCGUGAGUGAUGAAGGUAUCGGGAUCGGAAAACUGUUUUAUGGGGGAAAAACAUAUGUGUAAGGAACUGUGCACAUCGUGAAGGUACCAAAUAAGAAAGCCACGGCUAACUACGUG